Molecule: microRNA precursor, 66 nt
Filed under: Marmota monax (woodchuck)
Lineage: Eukaryota; Metazoa; Chordata; Mammalia; Rodentia; Sciuridae
Source: RNAcentral
UGUUAUAGAUGAGCAAAAACAUUGGUUUGUUGAAAUGUGAAAUAUUCCUGGUGAAGAUGUUUGAAA